UACAGAGGUCCCAAGCGUUGUUCGGAUUCAUUGGGCGGAAAGGGUGCGUAGGCGGCGCGGUAAGUCGGGUGUGAAAUCUCGGAGCUUAACUCCGAAACUGCAUUCGAUACUGCCGUGCUUGAGGACUGGAGAGGAGACUGGAAUUUACGGUGUAGCGGUGAAAUGCGUAGAUAUCGUAAGGAAGACCAGUGGCGAAGGCGGGUCUCUGGACAGUUCCUGACGCUGAGGCACGAAGGCCAGGGGAGCAAACGGG
This 253-nucleotide ribosomal RNA is filed under the name uncultured bacterium. Its description in RNAcentral is "partial 16S ribosomal RNA". It matches the Rfam family "Bacterial small subunit ribosomal RNA", at positions 524 to 776 of the family's 1533-position model. The record is from RNAcentral.